UACGUAGGGUGCGAGCGUUGUCCGGAAUUAUUGGGCCUAAAGCAUCCGUAGCCGGCCUUACAAGUCCUCCGUUAAAUCCAGCUGCUUAACAGAUGGGCUGCGGAGGAUACUAUAAGACUAGGAGGCAGGAGAGGCAAGCGGUACUCAGUGGGUAGGGGUAAAAUCCGUUGAUCCAUUGAAGACCACCAGUGGCGAAGGCGGCUUGCCAGAAUGCGCUCGACGGUGAGGGAUGAAAGCUGGGGGAGCAAACCGG
Molecule: ribosomal RNA, 253 nt
Filed under: uncultured bacterium
Lineage: Bacteria
Description: partial 16S ribosomal RNA
Rfam family: Bacterial small subunit ribosomal RNA
Source: RNAcentral